RNAcentral lists this ribosomal RNA (490 nucleotides) under uncultured bacterium. RNAcentral's name for it is "bacterial SSU rRNA". It matches the Rfam family "Bacterial small subunit ribosomal RNA", at positions 28 to 507 of the family's 1533-position model. The record is from RNAcentral.
GAUGAACGCUAGCUACAGGCCUAACACAUGCAAGUCGAGGGGCAUCGGGAGGGAAGCUUGCUUCCCUUGCCGGCGACCGGCGCACGGGUGAGUAACGCGUAUCGAACCUGCCCCAUACCCGGGGAUAGCCUUGCGAAAGUAAGAUUAAUACCCGAUGGCUUCCUUUUAUCUCCUGAUAGAGGGAAUAAAGAAUUUCGGUAUGGGAUGGCGAUGCGUCCGAUUAGCUAGUUGGCGGGGUAACGGCCCACCAAGGCGACGAUCGGUAGGGGUUCUGAGAGGAAGGUCCCCCCACAUUGGAACUGAGACACGGUCCAAACUCCUACGGGAGGCAGCAGUGAGGAAUAUUGGUCAAUGGGCGAAAGCCUGAACCAGUCAAGUAGCGUGCAGGAUGACGGCCCUACGGGUUGUAAACUGCUUUUAGGCGGGGUAAAGGAGCGGACGUGUUCCGCUUUUGCAAGUACCGCCAGAAAAAGGACCGGCUAAUUCCGUG